This 616-nucleotide ribosomal RNA is filed under the name uncultured bacterium. RNAcentral's name for it is "bacterial SSU rRNA". It matches the Rfam family "Bacterial small subunit ribosomal RNA", at positions 338 to 945 of the family's 1533-position model. The record is from RNAcentral.
CCUACGGGAGGCAGCAGUGGGGAAUUUUGGACAAUGGGGGCAACCCUGAUCCAGCAAUGCCGCGUGAGUGAAGAAGGCCUUCGGGUUGUAAAGCUCUUUUGUCAGGGAAGAAACGGUGUUUCCUAAUACGGAAUGCUAAUGACGGUACCUGAAGAAUAAGCACCGGCUAACUACGUGCCAGCAGCCGCGGUAAUACGUAGGGUGCAAGCGUUAAUCGGAAUUACUGGGCGUAAAGCGUGCGCAGGCGGUUUUAUAAGUCUGAUGUGAAAUCCCCGGGCUCAACCUGGGAACUGCAUUGGAGACUGUAAGGCUAGAGUGUGUCAGAGGGGGGUAGAAUUCCACGUGUAGCAGUGAAAUGCGUAGAUAUGUGGAGGAAUACCGAUGGCGAAGGCAGCCCCCUGGGAUAACACUGACGCUCAUGCACGAAAGCGUGGGGAGCAAACAGGAUUAGAUACCCUGGUAGUCCACGCCCUAAACGAUGUCUACUAGUUGUCGGGUCUUAAUUGACUUGGUAACGCAGCUAACGCGUGAAGUAGACCGCCUGGGGAGUACGGUCGCAAGNUUAAAACUUCAAAUGAAUUGACGGNUUGNGNGNGCGAGCGACGACGAGGAGAGG